AUUUUCCUUUUAACAACUAAGAAAAUCAAGGUUCAGAGAACCCAAAAAUUUGUUCAAUUUCACCCACCUAGAAAGUGGCAUGGAUGACAUUCAACCCAUUUUAGCCUGACCUUAUUUGCCGUUACUUAGUCACUAUGUAAUUUUGUUUCCUCAUUUGUGAUGAAAAUAAAAAUAGAAAGAAAGAACUGAAUGGAAUAAUAAAAACAUGAAAUGUGAUCUCUUGCAGGCCAUUGCCUCCUUCAUCGCAGACUUGAAUGGCUGCCCUUGGCCAUCACUCUCCUGACCUACCUAUGGUUGUUAAUAUUAAUUUUUACCACCCACAGUUGCCUUUGGCUCCUUCUCCUUCACCUCUUGUAUCUAGUCAACAAGUCCUCUGGAUUUAACUACCUUAUUUUCCGUAUUUAUCUUCCUGAUGCCAUUCCAUGGAUGAUGCCUGAGAGCUUCUCAACUGUUUCUACUCUCUCCACCAGCCAAGCUGUCUUCUAGUAUGUUGACAGCAUCCAGGGUGAAGAUAAUAUGUCGAUGAUGUUCAAUGAAUGCUUCUAGGAAAGUAAGAAUAAGUGAAUAAAUGGUUGAAUGGAUAAAACCUUAACGAGGCAAAAAAAGAUGCAUUCAAUUUUCAAGGAACAAGAGGUUAAGGAAAAUCAUAUUGCUCAACAGUCAGAAAUAAGGAACAGUUUUGAGGUAAA
Molecule: long non-coding RNA, 689 nt
Organism: Symphalangus syndactylus (siamang)
Lineage: Eukaryota; Metazoa; Chordata; Mammalia; Primates; Hylobatidae
Source: RefSeq, a predicted model, not a curated record